UACGUAGGGUGCAAGCGUUGUCCGGAAUUAUUGGGCGUAAAGAGCUCGUAGGCGGUUCGUCGCGUCGGCUGUGAAAACCCGGAGCUCAACUCCGGGCCUGCAGUCGAUACGGGCGGACUGGAGUUCGGCAGGGGAGACUGGAAUUCCUGGUGUAGCGGUGGAAUGCGCAGAUAUCAGGAGGAACACCGGUGGCGAAGGCGGGUCUCUGGGCCGAUACUGACGCUGAGGAGCGAAAGCGUGGGGAGCGAACAGG
RNAcentral lists this ribosomal RNA (253 nucleotides) under uncultured bacterium. RNAcentral describes it as "partial 16S ribosomal RNA". It matches the Rfam family "Bacterial small subunit ribosomal RNA", at positions 524 to 776 of the family's 1533-position model. The record is from RNAcentral.